RNAcentral lists this ribosomal RNA (1382 nucleotides) under Burkholderia multivorans. RNAcentral describes it as "partial 23S ribosomal RNA". It matches the Rfam family "Bacterial large subunit ribosomal RNA", at positions 1554 to 2925 of the family's 2925-position model. The record is from RNAcentral. Lineage: Bacteria; Pseudomonadati; Pseudomonadota; Betaproteobacteria; Burkholderiales; Burkholderiaceae.
AUUCAAGGGUGUGGCGCGAGCGACUUCGGUCGCGAAGCAAUUGGAAGUGGUUCCAAGAAAAGCCUCUAAGCUUCAGUCUAACGAUGACCGUACCGCAAACCGACACAGGUGGGCGAGAUGAGUAUUCUAAGGCGCUUGAGAGAACUCGGGAGAAGGAACUCGGCAAAUUGGUACCGUAACUUCGGGAUAAGGUACGCCCUUGUAGCUUGACUGGCCUGCGCCAGGAGGGUGAAGGGGUUGCAAUAAACUGGUGGCUGCGACUGUUUAAUAAAAACACAGCACUCUGCAAACACGAAAGUGGACGUAUAGGGUGUGACGCCUGCCCGGUGCCGGAAGAUUAAAUGAUGGGGUGCAAGCUCUUGAUUGAAGUCCCGGUAAACGGCGGCCGUAACUAUAACGGUCCUAAGGUAGCGAAAUUCCUUGUCGGGUAAGUUCCGACCUGCACGAAUGGCGUAACGAUGGCCACACUGUCUCCUCCCGAGACUCAGCGAAGUUGAAGUGUUUGUGAUGAUGCAAUCUACCCGCGGCUAGACGGAAAGACCCCAUGAACCUUUACUGUAGCUUUGCAUUGGACUUUGAACCGAUCUGUGUAGGAUAGGUGGGAGGCUAUGAAACCGGAACGCUAGUUUCGGUGGAGCCGUCCUUGAAAUACCACCCUGGUUUGUUUGAGGUUCUAACCUUGGUCCGUGAUCCGGAUCGGGGACAGUGCAUGGUAGGCAGUUUGACUGGGGCGGUCUCCUCCCAAAGGGUAACGGAGGAGUACGAAGGUACGCUAGGUACGGUCGGAAAUCGUGCUGAUAGUGCAAUGGCAUAAGCGUGCUUAACUGCGAGACCGACAAGUCGAGCAGGUGCGAAAGCAGGUCAUAGUGAUCCGGUGGUUCUGUAUGGAAGGGCCAUCGCUCAACGGAUAAAAGGUACUCUGGGGAUAACAGGCUGAUACCGCCCAAGAGUUCAUAUCGACGGCGGUGUUUGGCACCUCGAUGUCGGCUCAUCUCAUCCUGGGGCUGUAGCCGGUCCCAAGGGUAUGGCUGUUCGCCAUUUAAAGAGGUACGUGAGCUGGGUUUAAAACGUCGUGAGACAGUUUGGUCCCUAUCUGCCGUGGGCGUUGGAUAUUUGAAGGGGGCUGCUCCUAGUACGAGAGGACCGGAGUGGACGAACCUCUGGUGUACCGGUUGUGACGCCAGUCGCAUCGCCGGGUAGCUAUGUUCGGAAGAGAUAACCGCUGAAAGCAUCUAAGCGGGAAACUCGCCUUAAGAUGAGAUAUCCCUGGAGGCUUGACCUCCUUGAAGGGUCGUUCGAGACCAGGACGUUGAUAGGUCGGGUGUGUAAGCGCAGUAAUGCGUUCAGCUAACCGAUACUAAUUGCCCGUAAGGCUUGAUCCU